This 450-nucleotide ribosomal RNA is filed under the name uncultured bacterium. RNAcentral describes it as "partial 16S ribosomal RNA". It matches the Rfam family "Bacterial small subunit ribosomal RNA", at positions 354 to 796 of the family's 1533-position model. The record is from RNAcentral.
GUGGGGAAUAUUGGACAAUGGGCGAAAGCCUGAUCCAGCCAUGCCGCGUGUGUGAAGAAGGUCUUCGGAUUGUAAAGCACUUUAAGUUGGGAGGAAGGGCAGUAAGUUAAUACCUUGCUGUUUUGACGUUACCGACAGAAUAAGCACCGGCUAACUUCGUGCCAGCAGCCGCGGUAAUACGAAGGGUGCAAGCGUUAAUCGGAAUUACUGGGCGUAAAGCGCGCGUAGGUGGUUUUGUAAGUUGGAGGUGAAAUCCCCGGGCUCAACCUGGGAACUGCCUCCAAAACUGCAUGACUAGAGUACGGUAGAGGGUAGUGGAAUUUCCUGUGUAGCGGUGAAAUGCGUAGAUAUAGGAAGGAACACCAGUGGCGAAGGCGACCACCUGGACUGAUACUGACACUGAGGUGCGAAAGCGUGGGGAGCAAACAGGAUUAGAAACCCGAGUAGUCC